CAGAUUGAACGCUGGCGGCAGGCCUAACACAUGCAAGUCGAGCGGUAGAGAGGUGCUUGCACCUCUUGAGAGCGGCGGACGGGUGAGUAAUGCCUAGGAAUCUGCCUAGUGGUGGGGGAUAACGUUCGGAAACGGACGCUAAUACCGCAUACGUCCUACGGAGAAAGCGGGGGACCUUCGGGCCUCGCGCCAUUAGAUGAGCCUAGGUCGGAUUAGCUAGUUGGUGAGGUAAUGGCUCACCAAGGCGACGAUCCGUAACUGGUCU
RNAcentral lists this ribosomal RNA (265 nucleotides) under uncultured soil bacterium. Its description in RNAcentral is "partial 16S ribosomal RNA". It matches the Rfam family "Bacterial small subunit ribosomal RNA", at positions 25 to 293 of the family's 1533-position model. The record is from RNAcentral.